Molecule: ribosomal RNA, 775 nt
Filed under: uncultured Neocallimastigales
Lineage: Eukaryota; Fungi; Neocallimastigomycota; Neocallimastigomycetes; Neocallimastigales
Description: partial large subunit ribosomal RNA
Rfam family: Eukaryotic large subunit ribosomal RNA
Source: RNAcentral
CGCAUCUGUGCAUGCAGCAUAUCAAUAAGCGGAGGAAAAGAAACUAACAAGGAUUCCCCUAGUAACGGCGAGUGAAGCGGGAAGAGCUCAAAUUUGAAAUCUUAAAGGGUUUCCCUUUACGAAUUGUAGUUUAAAGAAGUGUUUUCUGUUGAGGUUUUGGUAAAAGUUCUUUGGAAUAGGACAUCAUAGAGGGUGAGAAUCCCGUAUUUGACCUUUACUUUCAACUUUGUGAUACACUUUCAAAGAGUCGGAUUGUUUGGGAAUGCAGUCCAAAAUGGGUGGUAAAUUUCAUCUAAAGCUAAAUAUUGGCGAGAGACCGAUAGCGAACAAGUACCGUGAGGGAAAGAUGAAAAGAACUUUGAAAAGAGAGUUAAGCAGUACGUGAAAUUGUCAAAAGGGAAGCGUUUGACACCAGUGUUGUUUUUCUGAAAAUCAAUUAAAGAACUGUUUAUGCUAAGCUGUUUAGACUUUAUCAGCUAACUGUUUAGUUUUGAGCUUUUCCUUUAAUGCACUUUUCAGUUAACAAGUCAACAUCAAUUUCUUUUGCUGUAAAAAAGCUUGAGGAAGGUGGCUUGAGAUUCGUCUUAAGUGUUUAUAGCCUCUUGCCUAUGCAGUCGGAGAGAUUGAGGUCUGCAGCGUAGAUCCUUCGGGGCUAAAUGCAUUUGUGCUAAGUUAUAGCAUUUUAUAGACAACUUGUUGACUAUGAUUUGUCUUGUAGCUUACUCGCUUAUGUUAUUUUACCUACGCUUAGGAUGUUGAGUCAUCACACAUCUCU